AUUACAGAGGGCCCUCAUGGGGUUUUUGAUUAUGUGAUUACUUGGCCGUUUUUUUAAUGAUUAUUUGAUUAUUAAGCCAAAUAUUUCAUGAUUAUUUGAUUACCUAGGACUGUAUUUUUAGUUUAUGAUUAUUUGAUUACUAAAGAUAAGCAAAUAUUUAAUGAUUAUGUGAUUAUAUUGGCAAAAAAAUGGUGAUUAUGUGAUUACUAGGACCCCCCCCCCCAUGAGGGGCCUCAUUAC
This 240-nucleotide long non-coding RNA is filed under the name Mytilus galloprovincialis (Mediterranean mussel). The record is from RNAcentral. Lineage: Eukaryota; Metazoa; Mollusca; Bivalvia; Mytilida; Mytilidae.